This 533-nucleotide long non-coding RNA is filed under the name Pogona vitticeps (central bearded dragon). RNAcentral's name for it is "lncRNA (ENSPVIG00000002405.1)". Lineage: Eukaryota; Metazoa; Chordata; Lepidosauria; Squamata; Agamidae. The record is from RNAcentral.
CACCUCCAGCUUCUAUCUUUUAUACAUCUUUUAGAAAAAAAUGUAGUGUGGCUUAUGUGAAUUGAAUUCUGGGCUUGAAUUUUUCUCACGCACUGACAGCAGAACCAACACUGAGGAAUCCAAAACAUCAUUGAUCUGUUUGCUUGCUCAUUGUUUUGUUGAUAUGCUGCUGGGUGAGUUUUAAAUAAAUGUAAUGUCUGCAACCCUUGCAUAUCUAUUGGACCACAGUGACCUAUGCUCUGAUUACUUCCAAUGUAUAAUGAAUGGUUUGUAGGAGUGAGUGCCCUUGCAGAAAUCUAAAAGCUUCAAGCAGAGUCUAAAGUGGCUGUUCUUUAGUUUCCAGUGCCCAGCCAGCUGGUGAGUACAUCAGUCAAGGAUGCAGUCUCUCAAGGGGGAGAAGCAGGGGAAGUCCAAGCAGCCAGAUCAGAGAUUGUAGUAUAUCCUCGAUACACUGGCCAAGAAGUUUCUUUCAUGAAGAGAAGAAACUCCAUUAUGUGGCUGAAGUUCUUCUUUGCAGCUGCUUGUCAUACUGA